AUGAUGCAACAAAUCUGGUCCGUUGAUCAAGCACAAGCUCUAGCCUUAAAGGCCGAGAGGUUUGUGAGGGUGAGAAAGACAACUAAGGCUCCAUAUCCUCCAUAUCCUCAUACCGAAGGCUCAUCUAGGAGCCAACCUAAUAGAGUGGAAGAAAAGACCACUCCACCAAAGACAAAACAGCCCAUCCCGAAGCAAACUAGAGGCAAGGGUAAGGCAAAUGAAGGCCCAAAGUGCUAUAAAUGUGGUAAAGAGGGACACAUAUCCAGCGGCUGCCCACUAAGGAAAUUUGUUAACACGACUAUCCAUGAUGGUGAAAGCGAUGAGGAAGAAUACGAAUCUGAAGAUGUAGACGAACAAGAGGUUUGUCAAGAAGAAGGUGAAGAGGUGGUAUGUGUGAUCCAGCGUGUCCUAUGUUCCACACCACAACUCGAUGACACACAACGGAAGAAAAUAUUUGAGAGCAAAUGCACGGUGAAUGGCAAGGUAUGCAAACUAGUGAUUGAUAGUUGCAGCUGCGAGAAUCUUAUCUCCCAGAAGUUGGUGGACCAUUUAAAGCUUGAAACCCAUGAUCAUCCAAAUCCCUACACUAUUGGAUGGAUCAAGAAAGGAGUGAAUAUGAGGAUCACCAAACAAUGCAACCUGCCACUUUCUUUGGGUAAGCAUUAUCGCUCAAAUGUGUUGUGUGAUGUGGUUGACAUGGAUGCCAGCCAUGUUCUUCUUGGGAGGCCUUGGCAAUUUGAUGUGGAUACUACACACAAGGGCAAGGAAAAUUAUUACUCUUUCAUUUGGAACAAGAGAAGGAUCAUUAUCUUACCAAACAAACCCGAAGGUAAUACCUCUAAUGAGGAGGGGAAAACUAUGUUAACUAUCUCCCAUACCUCUCAUGGGUUUAUGGAAGGCUUGAAGGAGGCAGAUUUGCGUGCUGCACUUGUUGUAAAGGGAGAAGAGCACCUGACUGUUGAAAUUCCAGCAAAGGUACGUGGUUUAUUGGCAGAAUUUCAGAACAUACUUGGGGAGCCACAUGGCUUGCCACCGAUGAGAGGAAUUCAACAUAGAAUUGACUUAAUUCCGGGAGCAAGUCUUCCUAAUCUUCCACACUAUUGA
This 1104-nucleotide ribosomal RNA is filed under the name Triticum aestivum (bread wheat). Its description in RNAcentral is "partial small subunit ribosomal RNA". The record is from RNAcentral. Lineage: Eukaryota; Viridiplantae; Streptophyta; Magnoliopsida; Poales; Poaceae.